This 492-nucleotide ribosomal RNA is filed under the name uncultured bacterium. RNAcentral describes it as "partial 16S ribosomal RNA". It matches the Rfam family "Bacterial small subunit ribosomal RNA", at positions 29 to 507 of the family's 1533-position model. The record is from RNAcentral.
AGUGAACGCUGGCGGUAGGCCUAACACAUGCAAGUCGAACGGCAGCACAGUAAGAGCUUGCUCUUACGGGUGGCGAGUGGCGGACGAGUGAGGAAUACAUCGGAAUCUACUUUUUCGUGGGGGAUAACGUAGGGACACUUACGCUAAUACCGCAUACGACCUACGGGUGAAAGCAGUGGAUCUUCGGACCUUGCGCGUUUGAAUGAGCCGAUGUCGGAUUAGCUAGUUGGCGGGGUAAAGGCCCACCAAGGCGACGAUCCGUAGCUGGUCUGAGAGGAUGAUCAGCCACACUGGAACUGAGACACGGUCCAGACUCCUACGGGAGGCAGCAGUGGGGAAUAUUGGACAAUGGGCGCAAGCCUGAUCCAGCCAUACCGCGUGGGUGAAGAAGGCCUUCGGGUUGUAAAGCCCUUUUGUUGGGAAAGAAAAGCAGCAGGUUAAUACCCCGCUGUUCUGACGGUACCCAAAGAAUAAGCACCGGCUAACUUCGUG